AUCUGUGGGGAAUCUUAGACAAUGGGGGCAACCCUGAUCUAGCCAUGCCGCGUGAGUGACGAAGGCCUUAGGGUCGUAAAGCUCUUUCGCUGGGGAAGAUAAUGACGGUACCCAGUAAAGAAACCCCGGCUAACUCCGUGCCAGCAGCCGCGGUAAUACGGAGGGGGUUAGCGUUGUUCGGAAUUACUGGGCGUAAAGCGCGCGUAGACGGAUUGGAAAGUUGGGGGUGAAAUCCCGGGGCUCAACCCCGGAACUGCCUCCAAAACUAUCAGUCUAGAGUUCGAGAGAGGUGAGUGGAAUUCCGGGUGUAGAGGUGAAAUUCGUAGAUAUUCGGAGGAACACCAGUGGCGAAGGCGAC
Molecule: ribosomal RNA, 358 nt
Filed under: uncultured Alphaproteobacteria bacterium
Lineage: Bacteria; Pseudomonadati; Pseudomonadota; Alphaproteobacteria
Description: bacterial SSU rRNA
Rfam family: Bacterial small subunit ribosomal RNA
Source: RNAcentral